This 497-nucleotide ribosomal RNA is filed under the name uncultured bacterium. Its description in RNAcentral is "partial 16S ribosomal RNA". It matches the Rfam family "Bacterial small subunit ribosomal RNA", at positions 28 to 507 of the family's 1533-position model. The record is from RNAcentral.
GACGAACGCUGGCGGCGUGCCUAAUACAUGCAAGUUGAGCGCUGAAGGUUGGUACUUGUACCAACUGGAUGAGCAGCGAACGGGUGAGUAACGCGUGGGGAAUCUGCCUUUGAGCGGGGGACAACAUUUGGAAACGAAUGCUAAUACCGCAUAAAAACUUUAAACACAAGGUUUAAGUUUGAAAGAUGCAAUUGCAUCACUCAAAGAUGAUCCCGCGUUGUAUUAGCUAGUUGGUGAGGUAAAGGCUCACCAAGGCGAUGAUACAUAGCCGACCUGAGAGGGUGAUCGGCCACAUUGGGACUGAGACACGGCCCAAACUCCUACGGGAGGCAGCAGUAGGGAAUCUUCGGCAAUGGACGAAAGGCUGACCGAGCAACGCCGCGGGAGUGAAGAAGGUUUUCGGAUCGUAAAACUCUGUUGGUAGAGAAGAACGUUGGUGAGAGUGGAAAGCUCAUCAAGUGACGGUAACUACCCAGAAAGGGACGGCUAACUACGUG